UUACAGGACAGUCUGCGUGUCCGUAAAUGCAUCAGGACUGGUGAGUGGACUAAGCGCGGGGAAAACCGAGGGAUGGUCACUAGCAUACAGCUCCAGGUCUCAAUCCAGAGAAGAUGCAGCCACUCCAGCUCAUAAAUUGAGCUCCAUAAACUUCAUGUGGUAUCAUCUCUGAUGGAUCUUCCACAAUGUUGGUGGAAAUCUGACAACAGAGAGACAACUUGGACCAUGAAGAGCCUCAACUUCUGCCCGUGUCAAAUUGGGGGCGACCGCAGGUGCGCAGCCCGAGCCGAACAUUGGACGCCCGUCAGACCGGACCAUCGCCUGGAACUCCGGAGGCAACAGUCCAGGCUAGGACCAACACGUCAACCUGAACAGAGACUCUGGCCUUAACUAGGAUGGCCUCUGCGUGGCGGAAGUUGGCCUCCGGAUAACUGUCAAUCUGCAGGUCGUCUCUGUGAAAAGGUGGUAAGUGCGCCAGAUUGCCGUCGCCGAUCAUCAAGACCCUCCUGUUGGCCGACAACUUCCAAUCUGUCAUCUUCCGUAUUGUAUUUAUGUGUCUAGUGGGUCUAUGGGGGGAGGCUUAGGUUAGGAUAGGAUAAGAUAAGGAGGGAUAGAAUAGGUUAGGUUUGGUUAGGUCACCUGGGGAUAGGUUGGUUGGCAACACUAAAUUGGCCCGAGUGUGUGAAUGUAAUGUUGAAUGUUGUCUGUCUAUCUGUGUUGGCCCUGCGAUGAGGUGGCGACUUGUCCAUGGUGUACCCCGCUUUCCGCCCGAAUGUAGUUGAGAUAGUCUCCAGCACCCCCGCGACCCCAAAAGGGACAAGCGGUAGAAAAGGUGGGGUAGGGUACGAUAGGAUGAACAUAUCCUCCUUUGGGAAAACUAAACACAUAUGUACAGAUUACAGUGUUUAAAUUUGGGUGUAAUAAAGUCUAAGGCUGUGGAUAAAAAUGAACAUGCAGCAAUAGCGUUCCUUCCUGUUGCUGAAGGAGC
This is a long non-coding RNA of Nerophis ophidion (straightnose pipefish), 988 nucleotides long. RefSeq lists it as uncharacterized. NCBI's taxonomy places the organism in Eukaryota, Metazoa, Chordata, Actinopteri, Syngnathiformes, Syngnathidae. The transcript has 4 exons. The record is from RefSeq and is a predicted model, not a curated record.